CUGGCAGCUGAGCCCUCUUCGUCAGGAGUUCUCAAUGGCCCCCAAGGUGCCUUUGUUUCCUCAAGGGGUUUUCAUAGCAUCCUCAGCUGUGGAAGGCAAUGUAUCGCAUCCUGUAUUACCUUCCCCUGACCUCAUAGCUUCCCAAAACAGGAACAAUCAUGGGCUUUGAAGUUACAGGAAUGCAGAUGUGAUUCCUAUGGAUGAGGGUAACCUAGAGGCUAGAAGAACAAUAGGACAGAAGAAGCCUGGG
RNAcentral lists this long non-coding RNA (250 nucleotides) under Homo sapiens (human). RNAcentral describes it as "HSALNT0323654". Lineage: Eukaryota; Metazoa; Chordata; Mammalia; Primates; Hominidae. The record is from RNAcentral.